CAAGGUUGUUGCAGAGCCAUUUAGAGAGUUAAUGAGAAUUAUAAUUUAUUGAACUUAUAUAGUGCUUUUCAAAGAAUCUCUAAGCACUUCAAAACACAAAAGAAGAGAUUUAGAAAAACAACAUCACAACAUCAUGAGAUGGACAGUCAUUAGAAAGUUCAUGGCUUGACCAGUCAUCUGUAUCGAGACUCAGGAUAAGACCCAGAUGCAAACAGUUCGAAUCACAGAUGUUUUUUUUUGAAAACGGGACAGGCAAACGACAGGUCAAGGGCAGGCAGAGAACAGCCUCAAUUCGUCAGGACAUGGACUCUAAAAGGUGUUGAAAGCGUUCCACAGGGAUGCUGGCCCAUGUUGACUCCAAUGCUUCAGUUGUGUCAAGUUGACUGGAUGUCCUUUGGGUGGUGGACCAUUCUUGAUACACAUGAGAAACUGUUGAGCAUGAAAAACCCAGCAGCGUUGCAGUUCUUGACACAAAUCGGUGCGCCUGGCACCUACUACCAUACCCCAUUCAAAGGCGCUUAAAUCGUUUGUGUUGCCCAUUCACCCUCUGAGUAGCACACAUACACAAUCCAUGUCUCAAUUGUCUGAAGGCUUUAAAAAAGUAUCAUCCCUUCAUCUACACUGAUUGAAGUGAAUUUAACAAGUGGCAUCAAUAAGGGAUCAUAGCUUUCACCUGGAUUCGCCUGGUAAGUCUAUGUCACGGAAAGAGCAGGUGUCCUUAAUGUUUUGUACAGUAAAUGUACAGUAUAUCAUACUUUAUUUGUUUCUACUUUACAGACAUACAUUUUCUUUAUGUUGUCCUCAAAAUCUGUAGUAGACAAACCGGUAUACAUGUAAAAUAUAUAGGUUUACCAAACGUUUAAGUGAUUGUCAAUUAAGAGAUGUCACAUUAAGUAAUAGUCAAAUGUCUUCUAAUAAAAAAAGAAGAGAAUCAUAUCAAAAGUAAUGUGAGCAUUGCAUUGUGAAAGGUGUGAUGCCACUCCUUGCUCUGUCUACUGGGUUUUGCUGUGCUUACUUCCUGCAGGAGAUUGGUGGGCGGAGUAGGAGAGGUGGGCGGAGCUGGGCGGGUCGUAAGCUCAGCUGUGGCAUAAAGCCACUGUUUCCCCAUUCAACAAGAGAUUCCUCUCUCCAUGCAUUCCUUUAAUUGUUUUGUUGUGGCUUUGUCAGUUGACACCUAAUUUACUGACC
RNAcentral lists this long non-coding RNA (1188 nucleotides) under Salmo salar (Atlantic salmon). RNAcentral's name for it is "lncRNA (ENSSSAG00000099012.1)". Lineage: Eukaryota; Metazoa; Chordata; Actinopteri; Salmoniformes; Salmonidae. The record is from RNAcentral.